This 440-nucleotide ribosomal RNA is filed under the name uncultured bacterium. RNAcentral's name for it is "partial 16S ribosomal RNA". It matches the Rfam family "Bacterial small subunit ribosomal RNA", at positions 338 to 795 of the family's 1533-position model. The record is from RNAcentral.
CCUACGUGAUGCAGCAGUGGGGGAUAUUUCACAAUGGGGGGAACCCUGAUGCAGCGACGCCGCGUGGGUGAAGAAGUAAUUCGUUAUGUAAAGCUCUAUCAGCAGGGAAGAAAAUGACGGUACCUGAGUACGAAGCCCCGGCUAACUACGUGCCAGCAGCCGCGGUAAUACGUAGGGGGCAAGCGUUAUCCGGAUUUACUGGGUGUAAAGGGAGCGUAGACGGCAGUGCAAGUCUGGAGUGAAAGGCGGGGGCUCAACCCCCGGACUGCUCUGGAAACUGUACGGCUGGAGUGCAGGAGAGGUAAGUGGAAUUCCUAGUGUAGCGGUGAAAGGCGUAGAUAUUAGGAGGAACACCAGGGGCGAAGGCGGCUUACUGGACUGUAACUGACGUUGAGGCUCGAAAGCGUGGGGAGCAAACAGGAUUAGAUACCCGAGUAGUC